This 261-nucleotide long non-coding RNA is filed under the name Physcomitrium patens. RNAcentral's name for it is "long non-coding RNA (PPAT_LNC000992)". The record is from RNAcentral. Lineage: Eukaryota; Viridiplantae; Streptophyta; Bryopsida; Funariales; Funariaceae.
GGGGUCGACUGCCUUUGUAGUUUGGAUUAAUCGAGUUUGGGAAGGCAUUUCUCAGUGCUUGAUAACUGGAUUCGUUUGAAAUUUUGAGAGUAUCAAGAUUUGUAAGCUAAGCUUUGAAGGGCACAAGUUUCGCUGGAUUUGAAGACAAUUUGAAUUUUUAGCGAAUUUCUAAGUGAAGGGGGUUGGUCGCCGCGGCAGUUUGGAUCACUCAACUUCAAAGGAGCAAUUCUCACGACUGGAUCACUAGAUUGCAAUGAGAUU